CUACGGGUUGCUCCAGUGGGGAAUAUUGCACAAUGGAGGAAACUCUGAUGCAGCAACGCCGCGUGGAGGAUGACACUUUUCGGAGCGUAAACUCCUUUUAUAUAGGAAGAAGAUGACGGUACUAUAUGAAUAAGCGCCGGCUCAACUCCGUGCCAGCAGCCGCGGUAAUACGGAGGGCGCAAGCGUUACUCGGAAUCACUGGGCGUAAAGAGCGUGUAGGCGGAUUAAAAAGUCAGAAGUGAAAUCCUAUAGCUUAACUAUAGAACUGCUUCUGAAACUCUUAAUCUAGAAUAUGGGAGAGGUAGAUGGAAUUUCUGGUGUAGGGGUAAAAUCCGUAGAGAUCAGAAGGAAUACCGAUUGCGAAGGCGAUCUACUAGAACAUUAUUGACGCUGAGACGCGAAAGCGUGGGGAGCAAACAGGAUUAGAUACCCCCGUAGUC
RNAcentral lists this ribosomal RNA (440 nucleotides) under uncultured bacterium. RNAcentral's name for it is "partial 16S ribosomal RNA". It matches the Rfam family "Bacterial small subunit ribosomal RNA", at positions 339 to 795 of the family's 1533-position model. The record is from RNAcentral.